GCUGGGCAUGGUGGCACGUGCCUGUAGGUGCCAGCUCAGGAGGCUGGGGUGGGAGGGUCACUUGAGCCCAGUAGUUCUCGGUUGUAGUGCGCUACGCUGGUCGGGUGUCUGCACUAAGUUUGGCAUCAAUAUGGUGACCUCCUGGAUGUGGGGGACCACCAGGUUGCCUCAGGAGGGGUAAAGCAGCCCAGGUCAGAGACAGAGCUGGUCAAAACUCCUGUGCUGAACAGCAGUUGGAUUGCACCUGUGAAUAGCCACUGCACUCCAGCCUGGGCAAUGUAGAGAGACCCUGUCUUUA
Callithrix jacchus (white-tufted-ear marmoset) is the source of this 298-nucleotide unclassified non-coding RNA. It matches the Rfam family "Metazoan signal recognition particle RNA". Rfam says of the family: The signal recognition particle (SRP) is a universally conserved ribonucleoprotein. It is involved in the co-translational targeting of proteins to membranes. The record is from Ensembl. Lineage: Eukaryota; Metazoa; Chordata; Mammalia; Primates; Cebidae.